This 480-nucleotide ribosomal RNA is filed under the name Pseudomonas sp. MP1400II. RNAcentral describes it as "bacterial SSU rRNA". It matches the Rfam family "Bacterial small subunit ribosomal RNA", at positions 30 to 503 of the family's 1533-position model. The record is from RNAcentral. Lineage: Bacteria; Pseudomonadati; Pseudomonadota; Gammaproteobacteria; Pseudomonadales; Pseudomonadaceae.
AUUGAACGCUGGCGGCAGGCCUAACACAUGCAAGUCGAGCGGAUGAGAAGAGCUUGCUCUUCGAUUCAGCGGCGGACGGGUGAGUAAUGCCUAGGAAUCUGCCUGAUAGUGGGGGACAACGUUUCGAAAGGAACGCUAAUACCGCAUACGUCCUACGGGAGAAAGCAGGGGACCUUCGGGCCUUGCGCUAUCAGAUGAGCCUAGGUCGGAUUAGCUAGUUGGUGGGGUAAUGGCUCACCAAGGCGACGAUCCGUAACUGGUCUGAGAGGAUGAUCAGUCACACUGGAACUGAGACACGGUCCAGACUCCUACGGGAGGCAGCAGUGGGGAAUAUUGGACAAUGGGCGAAAGCCUGAUCCAGCCAUGCCGCGUGUGUGAAGAAGGUCUUCGGAUUGUAAAGCACUUUAAGUUGGGAGGAAGGGCAGUAAGCGAAUACCUUGCUGUUUUGACGUUACCGACAGAAUAAGCACCGGCUAACUC